RNAcentral lists this ribosomal RNA (845 nucleotides) under uncultured archaeon. Its description in RNAcentral is "SSU rRNA". It matches the Rfam family "Archaeal small subunit ribosomal RNA", at positions 474 to 1337 of the family's 1478-position model. The record is from RNAcentral.
UACUCGCGGUCCAAGUCGCAGCCAUUUUUAUUGGGUCUAAAACAUCCGUAGCUUGCUAAGCAAGUCUUCUGUGAAAUCUUAACUCUUAAGGUUGAGGCGAGCAGAAGAUACUAUUUAGCUAGAGACUGGAAGGCGUAAGAAGUAUGUUUAAAGUAGCAGUAAAAUGUUUUAAUCUUAAGCAGACUAACAAUAGCGAAGGCAUCUUACGAGGACAGUUCUGACAGUAAGGGAUGAAGGCCAGGGGCGCAAAACGGAUUAGAUACCCGUGUAGUCCUGGCAGUAAACACUGCACACUAAACAUUAGUACCUCCUCGAGAGGUAUUGGUGCUGAAGCGAAGGCGAAGAGUGUGCUACCUGGGAAGUAUAGUCGCAAGGCCGAAACUUAGAGGAAUUGGCGGGGAGACACUACAACGGGUGACGCGUGCGGUUCAAUUAGAUUAUACACCGUGAACCUCACCAGGAGCGACAGCAGGAUGAAGGUCAGUCUAAAGGGCUUACCUGACACGCUGAGAGGAGUCGCAAGUCCGACGUCAGCCUGUGCCAUGAGGUGACCUGUUAAAUCAGGUAACAGGCAAGACCCACAUGUAUAUUUACCAUGAGUACAAUAUACAGAUUGCCCGGGUAACUGGGAUGAGUGUGUGGGCUACGUCAGGUUAUUUCAGCCCGAAUCCCCUGGGCAACACGCGCGCGUCAAAGGUGAAUACAACGAGAUGCAACUCCGAAAGGAGGAGCCAAUCCCUUAAAGUUCAUCUUAGUCUAGAUCGAGGUUUGCAACUCAGCCUCGUGACACUGGAAUCCGUAGUAAUCGUUUGUUAGCAGCGAACGGUGAAUACGUCACUGUCUCU